Molecule: unclassified non-coding RNA, 253 nt
Filed under: plant metagenome
Description: partial contains small subunit ribosomal RNA, internal transcribed spacer 1, and 5.8S ribosomal RNA
Rfam family: Eukaryotic small subunit ribosomal RNA (bases 1-54)
Source: RNAcentral
GGAAAUAAAAGUCGUAACAAGGUCUCCGUUGGUGAACCAGCGGAGGGAUCAUUACAGAGUUGCAAAACUCCCAAACCAUUGUGAACGUUACCUAUCCCGUUGCUUCGGCGGGCGGCCCGGGCCCCGCGCCCGGCGCCCCCCGGCCCCCCGUGGGCGCCCGCCGGAGGUAAACCAAACCCUUGAAUUGCAUGGCCUCUCUGAGUCUUCUGUACUGAAUAAGUCAAAACUUUCAACAACGGAUCUCUUGGUUCUG